This 1279-nucleotide ribosomal RNA is filed under the name Epimeria sp. 14 MLV-2017. RNAcentral describes it as "partial 28S ribosomal RNA". It matches the Rfam family "Eukaryotic large subunit ribosomal RNA", at positions 164 to 808 of the family's 3401-position model. Lineage: Eukaryota; Metazoa; Arthropoda; Malacostraca; Amphipoda; Epimeriidae. The record is from RNAcentral.
GCCCUGCACUACAUGGCCUAAGUUUGGCUUGAAUUUCUCACUGUACGCCUAACGGCUACAACGGCUCCACAGAGGGUGUCAGACCCGUGAGGCUAUGUGAUUAAAUGUGCGUGGGUUCGGCUUUAUUCCCUGAGAGUCGCGUUGCUUGAGCAUGCAGCGCUAAGCAGGUCGUAAACUCGACCUAAGGCUAAAUAUAUUCACAGAACCGAUAGUAAACAAGUACCGUGAGGGAAAGUUGAAAAGUACUCUGAAGAGAGAGUUAAAAGACCGUGAAACCGCUUAGAGUAUAAGCCAAUGGUAUUCUGGAAUGCUGGAGCUCCCCAUGGAAAAUGGUUCCCGAUUGUGGGGUACGUCCUAAGGGUAUCGUGUGUGCGAGAGAUCAUGAAGGCUGAUGGGCAAUCGAACCGAAAAGUGGAAUUGAGUUUAUACCACGGCACCCAUAUCUCGCGGGCCUCUGACAGUGGUAACAGGGAACGUUCUAAUGAGGAACUGAACCGAGGCUGGGCUUCAGCGAGCAUCAGUUUUUAAGCAUACUAACGAUCGGCUUUCUAAACAGCACACCACAAUCCUUUAUAAGGUCUCACUAGUGAGGUGUGGAUAGAGAGUGAUCUCUUUCAGCGAGUCGUGUCGCGUCAUUGUCCUCUGGUUUUGUGCACGUGCUUUGGUUGGCAUCGUGUGCUCCCGUUCCAAUACAGAUGUAUAGGGGGCUCAGUGGCCUGAGUGCCCUUGUACAGUUGGAGACGUGGAUGCUAGAGGGCCGGCCGGCUUGCACUGUACCGUUCCAGACACUAGUUGAAUGAUCCUAUGUGAAGAUUGAUUCUGACCGUCCAAAAACCCGCGAGCUUUGCCCGAACAGGCUUUGCGAGAUAACUGCACGGUGUGCCCUUGCGCUUCGUUACUUUAAGCUGAGGCGUCGGUCUAUUGUGGACAGGGGAGUGCAUUGGCCUCCUAUCUUUCACGUAGACUAGCAAAUUGGUUGUAUCGGGCUGUGAGCGAGGGGCAUUCGUUGGGUCGCUGGCCGAUUGGUGCAUUAUUCCAGAGCCAUUGGUCACGUCUCGAAACACGGGCCAAGGAGCAUAGCAUGUGCGCAAGUCUAAGGGAUAAGAAAUCCUGGAGGCGAAGUGAAAGCAAAUGGUGUGGGUAUGAGAGCUUGGCGUUCUUGUAUUCAGCCUGCGAUAAGCGUAAUUCCCGCGCUCGGAAACGAGUGUGGACGAAUGCGUCUCGCGGCUUAAAUUUGGGUUGAUCCUGUUACGUAAUAAAGCCACACUGGCGAUACGCG